Molecule: ribosomal RNA, 595 nt
Filed under: uncultured Bacteroidota bacterium
Lineage: Bacteria; Pseudomonadati; Bacteroidota
Description: bacterial SSU rRNA
Rfam family: Bacterial small subunit ribosomal RNA
Source: RNAcentral
CAACCUACCUAUCANAGGGGAAUAACCCGGCGAAAGUCGGACUAAUACCGCAUAAAACAGGGGCACCGCAUGGUGAUAUUUGUUAAAGAAAUUCGCUGAUAGAUGGGCAUGCGUUCCAUUAGGUAGUUGGUGAGGUAACGGCUCACCAAGCCGACGAUGGAUAGGGGAACUGAGAGGUUGGUCCCCCACACUGGUACUGAGACACGGACCAGACUCCUACGGGAGGCAGCAGUGAGGAAUAUUGGUCAAUGGGCGGGAGCCUGAACCAGCCAAGUCGCGUGAAGGAAGAAGGAUCUAUGGUUCGUAAACUUCUUUUGCAGGGGAAUAAAGUGAGGGACGUGUCCUGUUUUGUAUGUACCCUGAGAAUAAGGAUCGGCUAACUCCGUGCCAGCAGCCGCGGUAAUACGGAGGAUCCGAGCGUUAUCCGGAUUUAUUGGGUUUAAAGGGUGCGUAGGUGGUUUGAUAAGUCAGCGGUGAAAGUUUGCAGCUUAACUGUAAAAAUGCCGUUGAAACUGUCGGACUUGAGUGUAAAUGAGGUAGGCGGAAUGCGUGGUGUAGCGGUGAAAUGCAUAGAUAUCACGAAGAACUCCGAUUG